UACGUAGGUGGCAAGCGUUAUCCGGAUUUAUUGGGCGUAAAGGGAACUCAGGCGGUCUUUUAAGUCUGAUGUGAAAGCCUUCGGCUUAACCGGAGUAGUGCAUUGGAAACUGGGAGACUUGAGUGCAGAAGAGGAGAGUGGAACUCCAUGUGUAGCGGUGAAAUGCGUAGAUAUAUGGAAGAACACCAGUGGCGAAAGCGGCUCUCUGGUCUGUAACUGACGCUGAGGUUCGAAAGCGUGGGUAGCAAACAGG
This 253-nucleotide ribosomal RNA is filed under the name uncultured bacterium. RNAcentral's name for it is "partial 16S ribosomal RNA". It matches the Rfam family "Bacterial small subunit ribosomal RNA", at positions 524 to 776 of the family's 1533-position model. The record is from RNAcentral.